CCUACGGGAGGCAGCAGUGGGGAAUAUUGCACAAUGGGGGAAACCUGAUGCAGCGACGCCGCGUGGGUGAAGGAGUAUUUCGGUAUGGAAAGCCCUAUCAGCAGGGAAGAACAAUGACGGUACCUGACUAAGAAGCACCGGCUAAAUACGUGCCAGCAGCCGCGGUAAUACGUAUGGUGCAAGCGGUAUCCGGAUUUACUGGGUGGAAAGGGAGGGCAGGCGGCGCGUUAAGCCUGGUGUGAAAGUCCGCGGCCCAACCGCGGGACUGAAUUGGGAACUGGCGCGCUGGAGUGCCGGAGGGGUAGGCGGAAUUCCUAGUGUAGCGGUGAAAUGCGUAGAUAUUAGGAGGAACACCAGUGGCGAAGGCGGCCUACUGGACGGUGACUGACGCUGAGGCUCGAAAGCGUGGGGAGCAAACAGGAUUAGAUACCCUAGUAGUC
Molecule: ribosomal RNA, 440 nt
Filed under: uncultured bacterium
Lineage: Bacteria
Description: partial 16S ribosomal RNA
Rfam family: Bacterial small subunit ribosomal RNA
Source: RNAcentral